AGGAGUGUAGCUCAGUUGGUAGAGCAGUGGUCUCCAAAACCACCGGUCGCGGGUUCGAAUCCUGCCACUCCUGCCA
Molecule: transfer RNA, 76 nt
Filed under: bacterium
Lineage: Bacteria
Also listed under: 3 other names
Description: tRNA-Trp
Rfam family: tRNA
About the family: Transfer RNA (tRNA) molecules are approximately 80 nucleotides in length.
Source: RNAcentral